GACGUGGGGGGCCAGCGUUGCUCGGAAUUACUGGGCGUAAAGGGUUCGUAGGCGGUGCGGCAAGUCGGAGGUGAAAUCUCUGGGCUUAACUCAGAGGCUGCUUUCGAAACUGCCGUGCUAGAGUGCGGGAGAGGCGAGUGGAAUUGCAGGUGUAGCGGUGAAAUGCGUAGAUAUCUGCAGGAACACCCGUGGCGAAGGCGGCUCGCUGGACCGCAACUGACGCUGAGGAACGAAAGCUAGGGGAGCAAACAGG
RNAcentral lists this ribosomal RNA (253 nucleotides) under uncultured bacterium. RNAcentral's name for it is "partial 16S ribosomal RNA". It matches the Rfam family "Bacterial small subunit ribosomal RNA", at positions 524 to 776 of the family's 1533-position model. The record is from RNAcentral.